This 254-nucleotide ribosomal RNA is filed under the name uncultured bacterium. RNAcentral's name for it is "partial 16S ribosomal RNA". It matches the Rfam family "Bacterial small subunit ribosomal RNA", at positions 524 to 776 of the family's 1533-position model. The record is from RNAcentral.
UACGGGGGGGGCAAGCGUUGUUCGGAUUUACUGGGCGUAAAGGGUGCGUAGGUGGUUGGUUAAGUCGGGCGUGAAAGCUUUACCACUCAACGGAAAGAGGUCGCUCGAUACUGGCUGACUAGAGUAUGGUAGAGGCAAGCGGAAUUCCUGGUGUAGCGGUGGAAUGUGCAGAUAUCAGGAAGAACAUCGGUGGCGAAGGCGGCUUGCUGGGCCAUUACUGACGCUGAGGCGCGAAAGCGUGGGGAGCAAACGGG